UUUUUUUGGGAGAAAACUUAAAAAAAAACCCCUGCGGUUUUGCACUUUUUCAUUUUAAUACCCUGUGGUUUAAAAUGUAUCAAGUUAGUACCCUGUGGUUUCGCACUUUCUCACUUUAGUACUCUGUGGUUUAAAGUGUAUCAAGUUAGUACUCUGUGGUUUUAUUUUUGUAUCAAGUUAGUACCAUGUGGUUUUAUUUUUGUGUCAAGUUAGUACUCUAUGGUUUCAAUUUUUUUUAAUAAAAUAUUAAACCACAGGGUACUAAAGUGAGAAAGUGCAAAACCACAUGGUACUAACUUGAAACACUUUAAACCACAGGGUACUAAACUGAGAAAGUGCGAAACCACAGGGUAUAACUUGAUACACUUUAAACCAUAUGGUACUAAAG
Molecule: long non-coding RNA, 388 nt
Filed under: Ananas comosus (pineapple)
Lineage: Eukaryota; Viridiplantae; Streptophyta; Magnoliopsida; Poales; Bromeliaceae
Description: long non-coding RNA (ACOM_LNC039846)
Source: RNAcentral